GAUGAACGCUAGCGGGAGGCUUAAUACAUGCAAGUCGAACGGCAGCAAUUCGGAUGGCGAGUGGCGCACGGGUGAGUAACGCGUACAGACCUGCCUUGUACUGGAGGAUAGCCCCGGGAAACUGGGAGUAAUACUCCAUAGUAUCGAAAGAUUAAAGCUCCGGCGGUACAAGAUGGCUGUGCGUCUGAUUAGCUAGUUGGUGAGGUAAAGGCUCACCAAGGCGACGAUCAGUAGGGGGCGUGAGAGCGUGACCCCCCACACGGGUACUGAGACACGGACCCGACUCCUACGGGAGGCAGCAGUAAGGAAUAUUGGGCAAUGGAGGCAACUCUGACCCAGCCAUCCCGCGUGCAGGAUGAAGGCGCUACGCGUUGUAAACUGCUUUUAUUUGGGACGAAAAUUGAUUAUUUACUAAUCAACUGACGGUACCUUAUGAAUAAGCACCGGCUAACUCCG
Molecule: ribosomal RNA, 456 nt
Filed under: uncultured Saprospiraceae bacterium
Lineage: Bacteria; Pseudomonadati; Bacteroidota; Saprospiria; Saprospirales; Saprospiraceae
Description: bacterial SSU rRNA
Rfam family: Bacterial small subunit ribosomal RNA
Source: RNAcentral